Molecule: unclassified non-coding RNA, 1941 nt
Filed under: Hevea brasiliensis (rubber tree)
Lineage: Eukaryota; Viridiplantae; Streptophyta; Magnoliopsida; Malpighiales; Euphorbiaceae
Source: RNAcentral
AGGCAGGUGCAUUCGUAUAUGGUUAAAACUGCUAAUGAUAAAAGUAGGUUUGCUGUGAGUUCUUUGAUUAACAUGUAUUCCAAAUGUGGGAGUUUUCAAGCGGCCUGUGAGGUGUUUAAUGGAUGUGAGUAAGUAGCUGAUACAGUUUCAAAGAAUUCUAUGUUGGCAGCUUGUUGUAGAGAACGUGAAAUGGACCUAGCUUUGAGGCUGUUUUGGAGAGAGAAUGAGUUCAAUGAUACGGUUUCUUGGAGUACAUUGAUUUCAGGUUUUGCUCAAAAUGAUUAUGAGGAGGAGUCAUUGAAGUUAUUUGUUUGCAUGUUGCACAAUGGUGUGAAAUGCAAUGAGCAUACUUUUGCCAGUCUUUUGAGUGCUUGUACUGGUUUAAGGAACUUGAAGCUUGGAAAGGAAAUCUAUGCUUGUGUUUUGAGGAAUGGUUUGAGUUCAAAUCCAUUUAUAGAAAGCGGCCUCAUUGAUUUUUAUUGCAAGUGUGGGAAUAUGAAGUAUGCAGAAUCAAUACAUUUAGCAAAUAGGAUUGAAAGCUCCUUUUCAAUCACUUCUAUGAUUGUGGGGUAUUCAACACAAGGAAACAUGGUGGAAGCACGUAGGAUUUUUUAUUCUUUAGCAGAGAAGAAUGCUAUUAUUUGGACGGCUUUGUUUACUGGGUAUAUGAAAUUACUAAAAUGCAAAGCUGUUUUUCAACUGUUUAGUGAGUUUAGGUCUAAGGAAUUAAUGGUUCCCGUUGGUUUGAUCCUUGUAAGCAUGCUUGGUGCCUGUGCAUUGCAACCUGCACUUAGUCCGGGAAAGCAAAUUCAUGGUUAUGUAUUCAGAAUUGGAAUUGGAAUGGAUAAGAAAAUGACCACUGCUAUGGUUGACAUGUAUUCAAAAUGUGGCAGUAUAACAUAUGCGGAAAAAGUUUUCCAACAAGUUACUGAAAGAGAAUCUAUCCUUUACAAUGUCAUGAUAGCUGGCUAUGCUCAUCACGGACAUGAGAAUGAAGCUCUCCAGCUGUUUCAGGAAAUGAUGGAGAAAGGAGUCAGGCCAAAUGCGGUAACUUUUGUUGCACUUCUAUCAGCUUGCCGACACUGUGGAUUGGUAGAUUUAGGUGAAAGUUUUUUUAAUUCCAUGACUGAUAAAUAUAACAUAUUGCCUGAAAUUGAUCACUACGCAGGUAUGAUUGAUCUUUAUGGAAGGGCUAAUCAACUAGAAAAGGCAUUAUCGCUCUUGAAAAAGAUUCCUAUAGAACAACAGGAUGCUAUAAUCCUUGGGGCAUUCUUGAAUGCUUGUAGGCUAAAUAAGAAUGCAGAAUUGACAAAAGAGGUGGAGGAGAACCUGUUGAAGAUUGAGGGAAAUAAUGGGGCUCGAUAUGUGCAGUUGGCUAAUGUUUAUGCAGCAGAAGGGAACUGGGCUGAGAUGGGGAGGAUAAGGAAGCAGAUGAGAGGAAAGGAGGCCAAGAAGUUUGCUGGUUGCAGUUGGAUAUACCUAGAUAAUGGAGUCCAUAUAUUUACCUCUGGUGAUAGAACCCACAGGAAAGCAUAUUCUAUAUAUUCAAUGUUAGCAUGUUUGAAUACAGUGCUAUAUGAAGUUUCCGGAGUAAUCUGUUAAGAUGACAAUGUUCUGAUUGUUAAUGUCGACAUGCCAACGGAACUACUGUAGGGUAUAGAACAUACAAAUAUGUUGUACAGUCUUGCUUAUGUAUGGAGGCUCACUUGUUAAAACAUGAAGUACUGAGGGUCGAUUCACCAGUCAUGUUCCGGAGGAGUUGGCAACUCACCUGAAAUUUCAGUUUCUGAGCAUUCCGAUUGCCAAAUCUGUAUUAUGUCGUGGUACAUAGACUGAAACGACCUGUAGGGAGAAGUAGGGUAGCAGGGUGUGAAUGACAACUAGAAGAGUGACAAGCCAAUACAGAGGGUUUGGAGAGCAGGCUUCCACUAGUGCUCUAUA